This 418-nucleotide ribosomal RNA is filed under the name Magnusiomyces capitatus. RNAcentral's name for it is "eukaryotic LSU rRNA". It matches the Rfam family "Eukaryotic large subunit ribosomal RNA", at positions 70 to 668 of the family's 3401-position model. The record is from RNAcentral. Lineage: Eukaryota; Fungi; Ascomycota; Dipodascomycetes; Dipodascales; Dipodascaceae.
AGGGCUAGCGGUAGAAGCGGCGAGUGAGCGGCAAAAGCUCAAUUUGAAAACGCUUCGGCGUGUUGUAAGUAAAGUGGUUAGACGCUUUUUAAUAAGUCCCUUGGAACAGGGCGCCAUAGAGGGUGAUAGCCCCGUAUUAAAUUGUCUAGUGUGCUACUUUAGAGCGAGUCGAGUUGUUUGGGAAUGCAGCUCAAAUAGGUGGUAAACUCCAUCUAAAGCUAAAUAUUGCUGGGAGACCGAUAGCGAACAAGUACAGUGAUGGAAAGAUGAAAAGCACUUUGAAAAGAGAGUGAAAUAGCGUGUGAAAUUGUUGGAGGGGAAGGCGAUGGUAGGAAUAAGAGGCUGCGGUUUGAAAUAAUUAUUUUUCGGGCCACGGUCUCCUGAGCCUGCUUUCGCACCCGUCUUAAACCACCGGACA